GACGUAGGGCGCAAGCGUUGUCCGGAUUUAUUGGGCGUAAAGAGCUCGUAGGCGGCUUGUCGCGUCUGCUGUGAAAACCUAAGGCUCAACCUUGGGCUUGCAGUGGGUACGGGCAGACUAGAGUGCGGUAGGGGUGACUGGAAUUCCUGGUGUAGCGGUGGAAUGCGCAGAUAUCAGGAGGAACACCGAUGGCGAAGGCAGGUCACUGGGCCGCAACUGACGCUGAGGAGCGAAAGCAUGGGGAGCGAACAGG
This 253-nucleotide ribosomal RNA is filed under the name uncultured bacterium. Its description in RNAcentral is "partial 16S ribosomal RNA". It matches the Rfam family "Bacterial small subunit ribosomal RNA", at positions 524 to 776 of the family's 1533-position model. The record is from RNAcentral.